This 406-nucleotide ribosomal RNA is filed under the name uncultured bacterium. RNAcentral's name for it is "partial 16S ribosomal RNA". It matches the Rfam family "Bacterial small subunit ribosomal RNA", at positions 28 to 526 of the family's 1533-position model. The record is from RNAcentral.
GAUGAACGCUAGCUACAGGCUUAACACAUGCAAGUCGAGGGACCGGCGCACGGGUGAGUAACACGUAUCCAACCUGCCCUUUACUCGGGGAUAGCCUUUCGAAAGAAAGAUUAAUACCCGAUGUAAAGGAUGGGGAUGCGUUCCAUUAGGUUGUUGUUAAGUUAACGGCUCACCAAGCCUUCGAUGGAUAGGGGUUCUGAGAGGAAGGUCCCCCACAUUGGAACUGGGACACGGUCCAAACUCCUACGGGAGGCAGCAGUGAGGAAUAGUGGGCAAUGGGCGUUAGCCUGAACCAGUCAAGUAGAGUGAAGGAUGAAGGGUUAUGGGUCGUAAACUUCUUUGAUAUAAGAAUAGGUAUUAUAUGAAUAAGGAUCGGCUAACUCCGUGCCAGCAGCCGCGGUAAUAC